UACGGAGGGUGCAAGCGUUGUUCGGAAUUACUGGGCGUAAAGGGCUCGUAGGCGGCCAACUAAGUCAGACGUGAAAUCCCUCGGCUCAACUGGGGAAGGUCAUUCGAUACUGUUCGGCUUGAAGAUAGGGGAGGGAAGCGGAAUUUCAGGUGUAGUGGUGAAAUGCGUAGAUAUCUGAAGGAACACCAGUGGCGAAGGCGGCUUUCUGGCCUAUUCUUGACGCUGAGGCGCGAAAGCUAGGGGAGCGAACGGG
Molecule: ribosomal RNA, 253 nt
Filed under: uncultured bacterium
Lineage: Bacteria
Description: partial 16S ribosomal RNA
Rfam family: Bacterial small subunit ribosomal RNA
Source: RNAcentral